Molecule: long non-coding RNA, 626 nt
Filed under: Trifolium pratense (red clover)
Lineage: Eukaryota; Viridiplantae; Streptophyta; Magnoliopsida; Fabales; Fabaceae
Description: long non-coding RNA (TPRA_LNC007391)
Source: RNAcentral
CAUUCAUUCCUUCUUAAUAUGAUUGAUUGAUUAUGAAUCACUUAGACCUAGCCGGGUGAGAUUGUGUGAACCUUCCAUUGUUUAUAUAUUUGAGAGCCAACAAUUGUGUUUAACUCUGUUGAUUUUAACUGAAUCUUGCUAUUACUUGAUGUGUUUGAAGUCAUGGAAAUGAUCAAGACCAUGUUUCUUUUUGAGUGAUAACUACUUAAGCCAAAACAACCUACCUUGUGAGUUGUGUGAUCCUUUGCUACCCCCUUGAGCCAAAAUUUUAAAAUUUUGUUUGAUUUUGAACCCUUGAACCACAAUAAAGAAAAACAAUGACUUAACCUUUGUCUUAGGAUGAUUGAGCAUUGAAUUUAAGUAGGGUUGAAAACAAGUUGGGGAGAAAGAGGUUAUUUGUUUGAGUGAAAAAAAAAAUGAAGAAAGAAGUAGUUGAAAAAUAUGAGAUGUUGAAGAUGGUGAUUGAAAAAGAAAAAGAAAAACAUUGAAAGUCAUUUGACACACAAAUGAAAAUCAAAGAAAAUGUGUUACAAAAGAAAAAGAAAUGAAUAGAAAUUGUGUCAAAACAAAAGAAUCACCAAAAGUAAAGAAUGGGGAAAGUGAAAGAGGAUGAAUAGCUUAUGUAA